UCAAAAACAGUGCGUAGCUUGUCUGAUC
RNAcentral lists this non-coding RNA (28 nucleotides) under Bombyx mori (domestic silkworm). Lineage: Eukaryota; Metazoa; Arthropoda; Insecta; Lepidoptera; Bombycidae. The record is from RNAcentral.